Molecule: ribosomal RNA, 207 nt
Filed under: uncultured bacterium
Lineage: Bacteria
Description: partial 16S ribosomal RNA
Rfam family: Bacterial small subunit ribosomal RNA
Source: RNAcentral
UGCGUAGGCUGAUAUAUAAGUCAGUUGUGAAAACCAUGGGCUCACCUCAUGGCCUGCAAAUUGAAACUGUAUAUCUGGAGUCUGGGAGAGGCAAGCGGAAUUCCUGGUGUAGCGGUGAAAUGCGUAGAUAUCAGGAGGAACACCGAUGGCGAAGGCAGCUUGCUGGCCUGAGACUGACGCUGAGGCACGAAAGUGUGGGUAGUGAAC